GGCCACUGCUAUCGGGGUCCUACUAAGCCAUGCGAGUUAAGGGGCUCCCUUCGGGGAGCACCGGCGCACGGCUCAGUAACACGUGGCUAACCUACCCUCGGGUGGGGGAUAACCUCGGGAAACUGAGGCUAAUCCCCCAUAGGGGAGGAGGUCUGGAAUGAUCCCUCCCCGAAAGGCGUAAGCCGCCCGAGGAUGGGGCUGCGGCGGAUUAGGUAGUUGGUGGGGUAACGGCCCACCAAGCCUACGAUCCGUACGGGCCCUGAGAGGGGGAGCCCGGAGAUGGACACUGAGACACGGGUCCAGGCCCUACGGGGCGCAGCAGGCGCGAAACCUCCGCAAUGCGCGAAAGCGCGACGGGGGGACCCCGAGUGCCCACGCUCUGCGUGGGCUUUUCCGGAGUGUAAACAGCUCCGGGAAUAAGGGCUGGGCAAGUCCGGUGCCAGCAGCCGCGGUAAUACCGGCGGCCCAAGUGGUGGCCACUGUUAUUGGGCCUAAAGCGUCCGUAGCCGGCCCGGUAAGUCUCUGCUUAAAUCCUGCGGCUCAACCGCAGGGCUGGCAGAGAUACUGCCGGGCUUGGGACCGGGAGAGGCCGGGGGUACCCCAGGGGUAGCGGUGAAAUGCGUUGAUCCCUGGGGGACCACCUGUGGCGAAGGCGCCCGGCUGGAACGGGUCCGACGGUGAGGGACGAAGGCCAGGAGAGCGAACCGGAUUAGAUACCCGGGUAGUCCUGGCUGUAAAGGAUGCGGGCUAGGUGUCGGGCGAGCUUCGAGCUCGCCCGGUGCCGAAGGGAAGCCGUUAAGCCCGCCGCCUGGGGAGUACGGCCGCAAGGCUGAAACUUAAAGGAAUUGGCGGGGGAGCCCUCCAAGGGGUGGAGCGUGCGGUUU
RNAcentral lists this ribosomal RNA (884 nucleotides) under uncultured archaeon. RNAcentral's name for it is "bacterial SSU rRNA". It matches the Rfam family "Archaeal small subunit ribosomal RNA", at positions 22 to 903 of the family's 1478-position model. The record is from RNAcentral.